This 214-nucleotide long non-coding RNA is filed under the name Elaeis guineensis (African oil palm). RNAcentral's name for it is "long non-coding RNA (EGUI_LNC005390)". Lineage: Eukaryota; Viridiplantae; Streptophyta; Magnoliopsida; Arecales; Arecaceae. The record is from RNAcentral.
CCGCAGAUGGGUUGUCAAACAUAACCAACGAGACACCAACUUGAUACAUGCCUGCUGUCCCUAGUCGGCCAAAUAUCGUCAAUAAUAAUCGGUGGAGUGGUCAGCGAAAUGCUGAUCGAACAGGACUCAACAAUCUAAAUCAAAAGAAGCCGUAAUAGCUGAGUCAGCAUAGCACUUCUAAUCGGAUAGGGGACAAGAUGGCAAGCUACUGGGA